GGAGGAGGAAGAGGAGGAGGUGGAGGAGGAGGAGGAAGAGGAGGAGGAGGAGGAGGUGAAGGAGGAGGAGGAGGAAGAGGAGGAAGAGGAGGAGGAGGUGGAGGAGGAGGAAGAGGAGGAGGAGGAGGUGAAGGAGGAGGAAGAGGUGAAGGAGGAGGAAGAGGAGGAAGAGGAGGAGGAGGAGGUGGAGGAGGAGGAAGAGGAGGAGGAGGAGGUGAAGGAGGAGGAAGAGGAGGAAGAGGAGGAGGAGGUGGAGGAGGAGGAAGAGGAGGAGGAGGUGAAGGAGGAGGAAGAGGUGAAGGAGGAGGAAGAGGAGGAAGAGGAGGAGGAGGAGGUGGAGGAGGAGGAGGAGGUGGAGGAGGAGGAAGAGGAGGAGGAGGAAGAGGAAGCUGAGGAGGAAGAGGAGGAGGAAGAGGAGGAAGAGGAGGAGGAAGAGGAAGAGGAGGAAGAGGAGGCUGAGGAGGAAGAGGAGGAGGUGGAGGAAGAGGAGGCUGAGGAGGAGAAAGAGGAGGAAGAGGAGGAGGAAGAGGAGGAAGAGGAGAAAAAGGAGGAAGAGGAGGAGGAAGAGGAAGAGGAGGAGGAGGAGGAGGUGGAGGAGGAGGAAGAGGAGGAGGAAGAGGAAGAGGAGGAAGAGGAAGCUGAGGAGGAAGAGGAAGAGGAGGAGGAAGAGGAAGAGGAGGAGG
RNAcentral lists this long non-coding RNA (683 nucleotides) under Heterocephalus glaber (naked mole-rat). Its description in RNAcentral is "lncRNA (ENSHGLG00100034705.1)". Lineage: Eukaryota; Metazoa; Chordata; Mammalia; Rodentia; Bathyergidae. The record is from RNAcentral.